UUAAGAUACUAAGAGCAUACGGUGGAUGCCUUGGCGAUAUCUGCCGACGAAGGACGUGACAAGCUGCGAAAAGCUGCGGAGAGAUGCAAAUAAUCGGCGACCCGCAGAUAUCCGAAUGGAGCAAUCCGGCUGUGAUGAUGCACAGCCAUCCAUGCCCAAGAGCAUGAGAAGGGAACCGGGCGAACUGAAACAUCUAAGUAACCCGAGGAAAAGAAAUCAAACGAGAUACCCCAAGUAGCGGCGAGCGAACAGGGAAGAAGCCCAAACCGGUGAAGGAAACUUUACCGGGGUUGAGGACCAUCAGACCCGCGAAGAACUUUAGCCGAAACUGUUGGGAAACAGUGCCAAAGACAGUGAAAGCCUGGUAGGCGAAAAAGAGAAACGCGGAGAUGGCACCGGAGUACCGCGGGACACGAGAAAUCCCGUGGGAAGCAGGGGGGACCACCCUCCAAGGCAAAACACAGAUAUCGACCGAUAGCGCAUAGUACCAUGAGGGAAAGGUGAAAAGCACCCCGGGAGGGGAAUGAAAGAGAACCUGAAACCGUAUGUUUACAAGCAGUCGGAGACCGCUUAAUAAUAAGGUCGACGGCGUGCCUAUUGAAGAAUGAACCGGCGAGUUACGAAGCCUGGCAAGGUUAAGCAGGAAAUGCGGAGCCGAAGCGAAAGCGAGUCUUAAGAGGGCGCAAGUCAGGAAGCGUAGACCCGAAACCACAGUGAUCUACCCAUGUCCAGGUUGAAACACAGGUAAAAAUGUGUGGAGGACCGAACCUAUAUCCGUUGAAAAGGGUUAGGAUGAGGUGUGGGUAGGGGUGAAAUUCCAAUCGAACGUGGAGAUAGCUGGUUCUCCCCGAAAUAGCUUUAGGGCUAGCCUCAGGGAAAAGAUUGCAGGCGGUAGAGCACUGAUCAGGAGAGGGACCUACCCGGUUACCAAACCCAGUCAAACUCCGAAUGGCUGCAAUCAUACCUGGGAGUCAGACUGCGACUAAUAAGGGCCGCAGUCAAAAGGGAAACAGCCCAGACCAUCAGCUAAGGUCCCCAAUGCCGUGCUAAGUGGCGAAGGAUGUGGCAUUUCAUAAACAACCAGGAUGUUGGCUCAGAAGCAGCCACCAUUUAAAGAGUGCGUAAUAGCUCACUGGUCGAGAGACGCUGCGCCGAAAAUGUCCGGGGCUCAAGCACGGAACCGAAGCUAUGGCAUGAUAGCAAUAUCAUGGGUAGGGGAGCGUUCUUAUAAGGAAGAAGCAUGACCGGAAGGACAUGUGGACAAAUAAGAAGUGAGAAUGCCGGUAUGAGUAUCGAAAAGAAAGGUGAGAAUCCUUUCCACCGAAAGCCCGAGGGUUCCUGAGCAACGAUCGUCGACUCAGGGUAAGUCGGGACCUAAGCCGAGGCGAGAAGCGUAGGCGAUGGACAACAGGUUGAAAUUCCUGUACCGGAUCAAGUCGAUUGAGCGAAGGAGCGACGCAGGAGGGCACAUGAUCGCGCGGCUGGAAGAGCGCGUCCAAGUGCGUAUGUUGCAGCAGAGGAAAACCCCUGCAGCUAAAAGCAGAGACAUGAUGGGGAGUUAAAGGAAACUUUGACGAACUCAUGGAUCCCACACUGCCAAGAAAAACUUCUAGCGAGACAAGAUCCGCCCGUACCGUAAACCGACACAGGUAGGCGGGGAGAGAAUCCUAAGGUGCGCGGGAAAACCCUCGUUAAGGAACUCGGCAAAUUGCAUCCGUAACCUAGGGAGAAGGAUGGCCCCCGGUCAGUGAAGAGCAGAAACGCUCAGAGCUAAAAGGGGCGGCAGAAAAGAGGCCCAAGCAACUGUUUACCAAAAACACAGGUGCCUGCGAAAGCGAAAGCUGAAGUAUAGGUGCUGACGCCUGCCCGGUGCCGGAAGGUUAAGGAGAGAAGUUAGCGAAAGCGAAGCAUCGAACUGAAGCCCCGGUGAACGGCGGCCGUAACUAUAACGGUCCUAAGGUAGCGAAAUUCCUUGUCGGGUAAGUUCCGACCCGCACGAAAGG
Molecule: ribosomal RNA, 2003 nt
Filed under: human gut metagenome
Description: bacterial LSU rRNA
Rfam family: Bacterial large subunit ribosomal RNA
Source: RNAcentral